UACGGAGGAGGCAAGCGUUAUCCGGAAUUAUUGGGCGUAAAGCGUCCGCAGGUGGCACCUCAAGUCUGCUGUCAAAGACCGGGGCUUAACCCCAGAAAGGCAGUGGAAACUGAAGUGCUAGAGUGCAGUAGGGGUAGAGGGAAUUCCAGGUGUAGCGGUGAAAUGCGUAGAUAUCUGGAGGAAUACCGAUGGCGAAGGCGGCAUCCUGGACCGGCAUUGACGCUGAGGAGCGAAAGCCAGGGGAGCAAACGGG
This 253-nucleotide ribosomal RNA is filed under the name uncultured bacterium. RNAcentral's name for it is "partial 16S ribosomal RNA". It matches the Rfam family "Bacterial small subunit ribosomal RNA", at positions 524 to 776 of the family's 1533-position model. The record is from RNAcentral.